This 219-nucleotide ribosomal RNA is filed under the name uncultured bacterium. RNAcentral's name for it is "partial 16S ribosomal RNA". It matches the Rfam family "Bacterial small subunit ribosomal RNA", at positions 100 to 334 of the family's 1533-position model. The record is from RNAcentral.
CGGCACGGGUGCGUAACGCGUGGGAAUCUGCCCUCUGGUACGGAAUAACUCAGGGAAACUUGAGCUAAUACCGUAUAAUGACUUCGGUCCAAAGAUUUAUCGCCUGAGGAUGAGCCCGCGUCGGAUUAGCUAGUUGGUGAGGUAAAAGCUCACCAAGGCGACGAUCCGUAGCUGGUCUGAGAGGAUGAUCAGCCACACUGGGACUGAGACACGGCCCAG